This 75-nucleotide transfer RNA is filed under the name Candidatus Pacearchaeota archaeon. RNAcentral's name for it is "tRNA-Pro". It matches the Rfam family "tRNA". Rfam says of the family: Transfer RNA (tRNA) molecules are approximately 80 nucleotides in length. Their secondary structure includes four short double-helical elements and three loops (D, anti-codon, and T loops). Further hydrogen bonds mediate the characteristic L-shaped molecular structure. tRNAs have two regions of fundamental functional importance: the anti-codon, which is responsible for specific mRNA codon recognition, and the 3' end, to which the tRNAs corresponding amino acid is attached (by aminoacyl-tRNA synthetases). tRNAs cope with the degeneracy of the genetic code in two manners: having more than one tRNA (with a specific anti-codon) for a particular amino acid; and 'wobble' base-pairing, i.e. permitting non-standard base-pairing at the 3rd anti-codon position. The record is from RNAcentral. Lineage: Archaea; Nanobdellati.
GGGGCUGUGGUGUAGUUUGGUCUAGCACCUACGCCUCGGGCGCGUAAAACCUGCGUUCAAAUCGCAGCAGCCCCA